Molecule: ribosomal RNA, 492 nt
Filed under: uncultured bacterium
Lineage: Bacteria
Description: partial 16S ribosomal RNA
Rfam family: Bacterial small subunit ribosomal RNA
Source: RNAcentral
AGUGAACGCUGGCGGUAUGCUUAACACAUGCAAGUCGAACGGCAGCACGGUAAGAGCGUGUCCUUAUGGGUGGCGAAAAGCGGCUGGGACAGGAACAUAUCGGGAUCUACUUUUUCGUGGGGAAUAACGAAGGGAGAGUUACACUACUACCGCAGACGCCAUGGGGAGGAAAGGGGUGGAUCUUUGGAGCGUGCGGGCUUGAACGAGCCGCUGGCGGAUUAGCUAGUUGGCGGGGUGAAGGCCCACCAAGGCGACGGUCCGUGGCGGGUCUGAGAGGAUGAUCAGCAACACUGGAACUGAGCCACGGUCCAGCCUCCUACGGGAGGCAGCAGUGGUGAAUAUUGGUGAAGGGGCGCAAGGCUGAGCCAGGCAUACCGCGUGGGUGAAGAAGGCCUUCGGGUUGUAAAGCCCUUUUGUUGGGAAAGAAAAGCAGAAGGUUAAUCCCCCGCUGUUCUGGCGGUACCCAAAGAAUAAGCACCGGCUAACUUCGUG